ACUAGCUACCACUAUCAGCUCAAUUUCUUACCAAAAGUAUCCUAUCUGCAAGAUUCUGUGUUCAUGCAUGUAGCAUUGCGCUUCUAGAUUCCUCAAGGAGCCACUCAGGAGUAGCUCGUGAUUUUCAACUACAUUGGCAAGCACAUUUUGAAAGAAAAAGGCACACACACACAAAUAGCUGGGGCAAGCUAAAAAUAUCUCAUGAUCUUCUUAGCAUUGGCAGGAUAGAACACAGGCGAUGGCCACAGCUCACAAGUACAGUAACUAGUAGGCACAAAACUAAGAACAUAACAGAAGAGCAAAGAUAAACUGUUCAACAUUAUUUGAUGGCAACGUGCUGCUGGCUGCGACUACUAGUGAUGCAGGCGU
This 369-nucleotide long non-coding RNA is filed under the name Triticum aestivum (bread wheat). RNAcentral describes it as "long non-coding RNA (TAES_LNC001283)". Lineage: Eukaryota; Viridiplantae; Streptophyta; Magnoliopsida; Poales; Poaceae. The record is from RNAcentral.